UAAAGGAAGGCCAACCCAGUACAGCACACAGUGCUUCAGUUUGUGGAUUAAUUUGGCGGGAAAGUUUGUGGCUGUUAUUGCAAACUCAGAUCUUUUUUUUCUUUAACAUUUCACAACUACUUUAACACAUAUAGUGUUGUCUCUUAACCUCCAGAUAUUUCCUGCUCUAAAGCCUGCGUGUUAUCUUCCCCCUUUUACUUCCUCCUUAUGCUGGCAGCUUAUUAGUGAUCACACACAUGCUGUCCGCUUCACACAAACACUCUUCAGUGCCUGAUCAUACAUGCCCCGAAGAGCACACGUCCCCGUGGACGGGCCACCCCGAGCAGCCCUGUGGAUCGCACCAAUUGUGUUGCAAGGAACGCAAAAGGUCUAUCCAUGCAUCUACUGGUCUCUCUCUGAUCUAGACUCUUCUCUUAGAGUAUUUGACAGACUGUGGUUGACACUCAAUUUAAGGGGGUGUCAGUUUGUCAAAUACCCCAAGAGAGGGGGCACGAGUCUCCAAAGUUCUCCAUCACCUGGUUUGAUACAAGCAAACCCCGUUAUACCUCAUGUUCAACCGCAUGCAGCAGCGCAUGUGUAAGUUUAGCUACUUUUGCUCAGUGCUGUGUAGAUUGCUUACAAAUUGUAGUCUUUUACAUGAUGAAAAUUGUAGUCAGAAAUGUAAUCCAUUUUAAGUAAUUCUUUCAGACUACUUUUUGGUUACUUUAAAAUUACUUUUGACCUAACUUUAUAGAUUUUUGUUUAUAGAUUUAAAUGGGAUUCUUGUUAGAAAAAGCAAAGAUAAAUAAAGUAUAUUCCAUUCUGUUAUCUACAUCAUGAAACACAUUAAAUGUUACAUUACUCCAGGGUUUCACAAACUAUAGGGUAAAUGAAAAAAGUGCAGAUGAUUUCUAAGUUUAUUUAAAAAAUAUUUUUUUAAAUAAAUCAUUUAAAUAAAAUGUUUAUGUUUACCUGCAUGUCAGUGUGACAUUAGAUAACUGUGAACAUGAGAAUGUGUUGUUAAAUUAUUAUAUAUAAAAGUUAACAUGGUAUAAUUGUCUGAGAGUUGCUUUCAUCAUCAGAAGCACGGAUUGCAUAUUAAUUUACAUUUAUGUGGCCAUUCUAUAUUGUGCAUUUUCAAAGAUAAAUGAUAUGUCACUAGAAUUUUUAGCAAAUAACUGUAAUAUGAUUAUGAGCAAUAUAAAAUGUAACUUACCAGUAACCUAUAUAAAAUAAGAAGAAGCAUAUGGUGUUUUCCAUGUAAUCUUUUCAUUUAUAGUGUGUGUGUGUUUGUAUUUAUUUGCUAUGUUGCUGCAAUCUUAUUGGAUGGAAAAACAGGUAGUUUGGAUAAAUAAAUAAAAAAAGAAACUAAUGCACUAUUAAAGUACUAUUAAUGCAGUGCUAUCUGUAUCACAGAUCAUUACGUUAUAAUACAGUUGUCUUACACUCUCAACAUGAUUUAGACAACCAGUGUUUAGCAUGCUGACAGCUGCUGAUGAAAGUUUGCAUGAACAAGUUCCUCGCUACAGACAACUGGAGUUUUACAAUUUAGAGUGUGUGUGUGAGUUGACCUCACACACACACUCUGGGAGUGUGCUAUCUUUUAUCUGUUAAUUAAAUCUAUUUUUUUUGUUUAUAUUUAGCAUGUAAAUUCUGUUAAAAAUGGCUGUUUAUUAGAACAUUAAACAAUAAUUACAAAUUGAAAUUUCUCUUUCAGAAAUGAAUUAAAAAAGAAAGGUUCAUUUGCAUUGUUAAAAAAAGAAAUGCUAGUGCUUGCAAGUCUGCAAAAUAAAGGUUUGAGUUGUUGUCAUAA
Long non-coding RNA from Carassius gibelio (silver crucian carp), 1792 nucleotides. RefSeq lists it as uncharacterized. The transcript is spliced from 2 exons. Lineage: Eukaryota; Metazoa; Chordata; Actinopteri; Cypriniformes; Cyprinidae. The record is from RefSeq and is a predicted model, not a curated record.